CCUAAAUCCUUCAUCAUCUUGUGGAACGAGGUUGGAGAUUUCCAGCAAAGUGGAAAUACAAGUCGGUGCUUGGCCUGUCGGGACUGUGUCGGCUCCCACUUCUGUUACUCACAGAGGGAUCCGGAGAAAAGGCUGCCGCACUGAGAAAGCUCCAUCACAGAGGACCGGCUUCCAAAGGUGAGAAUGUGGCGAUCCAGAGAUUAAGUAACUUGCCUAGCUUGACUCAGCGAGCACAAGAGAAAGGGCCUCUGGGCUUAUGGCUUUUACCAUCCCAGGCCAAUAUCCUUAAAUAUUGAGCUAUAAAUCCUACCAGCCAUAUUGGAUGAGCGAGAACUGUAUUUCCUGAGCCAUCUUCAUCAAUGUAAUCCGCUCCAAUUCACUCAGCAUUCAGUCAGGACUGCCCUGAGGAAGCCUGUGCCAGGGAACACGAUGGGUGGAGGUGUCUGAAUGUGCACUAUGAUCUGGUGUUCCAGAUCAUUCCAUGACCUCAGGUGGAGAACCUCAUGUUCAACUCAUCACUGCCCCUCAGCAAAGGGAAACCAAGCCGUCUUCAACCCAGAAAUUGUCCAGCCAGAAACACCACGGAGGACAGAGGUAUGCGCUGAAGAUCGCUGCCGCCUGGGUCCUGCGCGCACAGCCAGGAGGGUCCGC
Long non-coding RNA from Talpa occidentalis (Iberian mole), 651 nucleotides. RefSeq lists it as uncharacterized. The transcript has 4 exons. NCBI's taxonomy places the organism in Eukaryota, Metazoa, Chordata, Mammalia, Eulipotyphla, Talpidae. The record is from RefSeq and is a predicted model, not a curated record.